GACGAACGCUGGCGGCGUGCUUAACACAUGCAAGUCGAACGGAAAGGCCCUGCUUUUGUGGGGUGCUCGAGUGGCGAACGGGUGAGUAACACGUGAGUAACCUGCCCUUGACUUUGGGAUAACUUCAGGAAACUGGGGCUAAUACCGGAUAGGAGCUCCUGCUGCAUGGUGGGGGUUGGAAAGUUUCGGCGGUUGGGGAUGGACUCGCGGCUUAUCAGCUUGUUGGUGGGGUAGUGGCUUACCAAGGCUUUGACGGGUAGCCGGCCUGAGAGGGUGACCGGCGACAUUGGGACUGAGAUACGGCCCAGACUCCUACGGGAGGCAGUAGUGGGGAAUAUUGCACAAUGGGCGGAAGCCUGAUGCAGCAACGCCGCGUGCGGGAUGAAGGCCUUCGGGUUGUAAACCGCUUUCGCCUGUGACGAAGCGUGAGUGACGGUAAUGGGUAAAGAAGCACCGGCUAACUACGUG
Molecule: ribosomal RNA, 468 nt
Filed under: uncultured bacterium
Lineage: Bacteria
Description: partial 16S ribosomal RNA
Rfam family: Bacterial small subunit ribosomal RNA
Source: RNAcentral